AUUAACGCUGGCAGAGUGCAUAACACAUGCAAGUCGAGCGGAACACCCGUUGUAGCAAUACAGUGGGUGUUUAGCGGCAGACGAGUGAGUAACACGUAAGGAAUAUGCCCCGGAGAGGGGGACAACCAGCCGAAAGGUUGGCUAAUACCCCAUAUAAUCCUUGAAUGGCAUCGUUCAGGGAUGAAAGGAGUAAUCCACUCUGGGAGUAUCUUGCGACCUAUCAGCUAGUUGGGGGGGUAACGGCCCACCAAGGCGACGACGGGUAGCCGGCCUGAAAGGGCGAUCGGCCACGGGGGCACUGAGACACGGGCCCCACUUCUACGGAAGGCAGCAGUGGGGAAUUUUGGACAAUGGGGGAAACCCUGAUCCAGCAACUCUGCGUGAGGGACGAAGGUCUUCGGAUUGUAAACCUCUUUUCUUAGGGACGAAUGCCCGCAAGGGUUUGACGGUACCUGAGGAAUAAGCCACGGCUAACUACGU
This 480-nucleotide ribosomal RNA is filed under the name uncultured bacterium. Its description in RNAcentral is "bacterial SSU rRNA". It matches the Rfam family "Bacterial small subunit ribosomal RNA", at positions 29 to 506 of the family's 1533-position model. The record is from RNAcentral.